UUUACAGCUGCUCAGAUUAGCAGGAAUGGUUCCAGUAAAUGAAUUCCAAGUGAGAUUAAGAUGUUGAAGUUGCAAGAGGUUGCCUAUUUCCAUAGGGACUUCACCAUGGAAGCUAUUAUUCCUAAGAUUUAUCGCUGUUAGGAACGUGAGGUUCCCAAUAGAAGGCGGUAUGGAUCCAACGAGCUUUAGUGAUCUCAAGUGAAGAAUGAUGACUCUUUGGAAGGAGGGGUUGCAUGUUAUGCCUGUCCAAUUGCAGUAAUGGAGAGAAUUGUUCCAUGAAGACAUGACUUGGAAUGGAUCAUCAGUGAUUCUACUUUUGAAGUCUAG
RNAcentral lists this unclassified non-coding RNA (327 nucleotides) under Hevea brasiliensis (rubber tree). The record is from RNAcentral. Lineage: Eukaryota; Viridiplantae; Streptophyta; Magnoliopsida; Malpighiales; Euphorbiaceae.